AUGCUCACCUCAGCAGCACAUACACUAAAAUUGGAACAAUGCAGAGAAGACUAUAAUGACCCCUGCACAAGGAUGACACACAAAUUAGUGAAAUGUUCCAUAUUUUA
Molecule: small nuclear RNA, 107 nt
Organism: Psammomys obesus (fat sand rat)
Lineage: Eukaryota; Metazoa; Chordata; Mammalia; Rodentia; Muridae
Source: RefSeq, a predicted model, not a curated record